AGAGUUUGAUCCUGGCUCAGAACGAACGCUGGCGGCGUGCCUAACACAUGCAAGUCGAACGGGAUUGAGGUGCUUGCACUUCAAUUUAGUGGCGCACGGGUGAGUAACGCGUAGAUAAUCUGCCUGACGAUCUGGGAUAACACUUCGAAAGAGGUGCUAAUACCGGAUAAGCCCACGGGGUCUUUGGAUUCUGCGGGAAA
This 200-nucleotide ribosomal RNA is filed under the name uncultured bacterium. RNAcentral's name for it is "partial 16S ribosomal RNA". It matches the Rfam family "Bacterial small subunit ribosomal RNA", at positions 8 to 204 of the family's 1533-position model. The record is from RNAcentral.